This 1884-nucleotide ribosomal RNA is filed under the name human gut metagenome. RNAcentral's name for it is "bacterial LSU rRNA". It matches the Rfam family "Bacterial large subunit ribosomal RNA", at positions 3 to 1980 of the family's 2925-position model. The record is from RNAcentral.
UCAAGCUACAAAGAGCGCAAGGGGAAUGCCUUGGCACUGGGAGCCGACGAAGGACGUAGCGAUCUACGAUAAGCCACGGUGAGCCGAAAGCAGGCAUCGACCCGUGGAUUUCCGAAUGGGGCAACCUGGCUGAAUAGAACUCAGUCAACAUACGGUGAAUAAAAUAGUCGUAUGUAGGGAACCGCCUGAACUGAAACAUCUAAGUAGGGCGAGGAAAAGAAAUCAACCGAGAUUCCGCAAGUAGUGGCGAGCGAACGCGGAAGAGGCCAAACCGAGAGUAGUAAUACUUUCGGGGUUCGGACAGAAUACGGCAUUGUAAAGGUUUAGUGGAAUGGAAUGGGAAGUCCAACCGAAGAAGGUGAGAGUCCUGUACACGAAAAGCCUGAACAGCCAUCUGUAUCCAGAGUACCGCCGGACACGUGAAACCCGGUGGGAAUACGGGGGGACCAUCCUCCAAGCCUAAAUACUACUCGGUGACCGAUAGUGAAGAAGUACUGUGAAGGAAAGGUGAAAAGUACCCCUGACGGGGAGUGAAAAAGAACCUGAAACCUUGUGUUUACAAGCACCGAAAGCUCAUCAAAGAGCGAUCGGGUACCUUUUGUAGAAUGGUCCGGCGAGUGAAUGUAACCGGCGAGGUUAAGCACUUAAGGUGUGAAGCCGCAGCGAGAGCAAGUCUGAAUAGGGCGUAUGAAGUCGGUUGUAUUCGACCCGAAACCGGGUGACCUACCCAUGGUCAGGUUGAAGUAAAGGUAAAACUUUAUGGAGGACCGAACCGACUCCCGUUGAAAUGGUAGCGGAUGAACUGUGGGUAGCGGAGAAAUUCCAAUCGAACCCGGAGAUAGCUGGUUCUCCCCGAAAUAGUUUUAGGACUAGCCUCAAGUUAGAUACCUGGAGGUAAAGCACUGAAUAGCCUAGCGGCCGAGAGGUUAGCGAAGCUUAUCAAACUCAGAAUGCCAGAGUAUUGAUGCUUGGGAGUCAGACAGUGUCAGAUAAAUGUCAUUGUCAAAAGGGAAACAGCCCAGAUCUACAGCUAAGGUCCCAAAGUCAGGUUAAGUGGAAAACGAUGUGAAGAUACGCAGACAACCAGGAUGUUGGCUCAGAAGCAGCCACUCAUUCAAAGAGUGCGUAAUAGCUCACUGGUCGAGCGUCUUUGCGCGGAGAAUUUAACGGGGCUAAACCUGACACCGAAGCUUAGGCAAUACAGCAAUGUAUUGGGUAGGGGAGCGUUGUAUACGCGGUGAAACAGUAGCGCAAGCGGCUGUGGAGUGUAUAGAAGUGAGAAUGCCGGAAUGAGUAGCGCGAAUGCAGUGAGAAUCUGCAUGGCCGAAAGCCUCAGGUUUCUGGAGGAAGGUUCGUCCGCUCCAGGUUAGUCGGGAGCUAAGGUGAGGCCUAACGGCGUAGCCGAUGCACAGACGGUAGAGAUUCCGUCACCACCAAAAGAGUUAAACACAGGGACACAUAUGAAGUCUCGGAGCCGGGUGUUGGUUCCGGUAGCGAUCGAGGGAAGUUAGUACCGAAGUCCGGGAUGGAAGAUGGCGAGAAAAGCUGUGUGUAUUUCUGCGGUGCCCGUACCGCAAACCGACACAGGUAGGUAGGAAGAAGAUUCUAAGGCCAACGGGAGAAGGGUUGUUAAGGAACUCGGCAAAUUGACCCCGUAACUUCGGGAGAAGGGGUGCUCCAGAGAUGGAGCCGCAGAGAAUCGGCCCAAGCAACUGUUUACCAAAAACACAGGUUUGUGCUAAAUCGAAAGAUGACGUAUACGAGCUGACGCCUGCCCGGUGCUGGAAGGUUAAGAGGAGAUGUGCAAGCAUUGAAUCGAAGCCCCAGUGAACGGCGGCCGUAACUAUAACGGUCCUAAGGUAGCGAAAUUCCUUGUCAGGUAAG